RNAcentral lists this ribosomal RNA (491 nucleotides) under uncultured Eubacteriales bacterium. RNAcentral describes it as "uncultured Clostridiales bacterium partial 16S ribosomal RNA". Lineage: Bacteria; Bacillati; Bacillota; Clostridia; Eubacteriales. The record is from RNAcentral.
UACAUAGUUAGCCGGGGCUUCCUCCUUAGGUACUGUCUUGUAUCUUCCCUAACGACAAUAGUUUACAAUCCGAAAACCUUCUUCCUAUACGCGGCGUCACUGCGUCAGAGUUUCCUCCAUUGCGCAAUAUUCCCGACUGCUGCCUCCCGUAGGAGUCUGGGCCGUAUCUCAGUCCCAAUGUGGCCGUUCAACCUCUCAGUCCGGCUACUGAUCGUUGCCUUGGUAGGCCGUUGCCCCACCAACUAGCUAAUCAGACGCAAGCCCAUCUAUCAGCGGAUUGCUCCUUUCCUAACUGUAUCAUGCAAUACUGUUAGCAUAUGCGGUAUUAGCAGUGAUUUCUCACUGUUAUUCCCCCUCUGAUAGGCAGGUUGCUUACGUGUUACUCACCAGUCCGCCACUAACCGCUCCCAAUGUAAACAAAGGGUUAAGUCCGUUCGACUUGCAUGUCUUAUGUGCGCCGCCAGCGUUUAUCCUGAGCCAGGAUCAAACUC